ACAACUGUAGCUCAUUGGUAGAACAUCUGCUUUGCAUUCAGAAGGUGCCUGUUUCGACUUGUGGCUUUUCCAGGUAGGGGUGUG
Non-coding RNA from Podarcis lilfordi (Lilford's wall lizard), 84 nucleotides. The record is from the annotation of a GenBank genome assembly. NCBI's taxonomy places the organism in Eukaryota, Metazoa, Chordata, Lepidosauria, Squamata, Lacertidae.